CAAUAGCGUAUAUUAAAGCUGUUGCGGUUAAAAAGCUCGUAGUUGGAUUUCUGUCAAGGACAACUGGUCCGCCCUCCGGGUGAGCACAUAGUUUGGUCUUGGCAUCUUGCUGGAAACUGUUGCUGCACUUGGCUGUGUGGCGCAGUGUCCAGCACUUUCACUUUGAGGAAAUUGGAGUGUUUCAAGCAGGCACAUGCCUUUGGACACAGUAGCAUGGAAUAAUUAGAUUGGGCUUUUGCUCCAAUUUGUCGGUUUCUGGAGCUGAGGUGAGAAUUAAUGGGGAUUGUUGGGGGCAUCCGAAUUUAGCUGUCAGAGGUGAAAUUCUUGGAUCUGCUAAAGACGGACAACUGCGAAAGCGUUUGCCCAGGAUGUUUUCAUUGA
RNAcentral lists this ribosomal RNA (381 nucleotides) under uncultured eukaryote. RNAcentral's name for it is "partial 18S ribosomal RNA". It matches the Rfam family "Eukaryotic small subunit ribosomal RNA", at positions 592 to 976 of the family's 1831-position model. The record is from RNAcentral.